This is a non-coding RNA of Callithrix jacchus (white-tufted-ear marmoset), 142 nucleotides long. Lineage: Eukaryota; Metazoa; Chordata; Mammalia; Primates; Cebidae. The record is from Rfam.
AACUUUGCACAGUGGCAGUAUUGUAACCAGUGAGGUUUAUCUGAGGCUCUAUUAUUGCUAAUUGAGAAGCUUGCAAAUCUAUGCCAUGUAUCAUUAAUGGAUAUCCAUAUAUAACAAAAGUUUUUAAAGAUGUGAGGGAAUA